This is a long non-coding RNA of Pantherophis guttatus, 342 nucleotides long. RefSeq lists it as uncharacterized. The record is from RefSeq and is a predicted model, not a curated record. NCBI's taxonomy places the organism in Eukaryota, Metazoa, Chordata, Lepidosauria, Squamata, Colubridae.
UCCAGGAGAGAGCCAUGCGGCCUAUGGAUGCUAAGGUGUGGAGCAACCUGUUGUCCUCCUCCAACGUGAUGUCCGGAGCUUCCAGGAGAUCUAUAGAAACCAGGAUUACUACUGUUGUCAGAGAAUGACAGGGAUGUGGAAAAUACUUCAAGAACUGGGAAAACCAGCUUUGCAGGAGAAGAAUAUUCACAAGGGGAACAAAAAGUAACAUAUAGUGGAAAAGGAAAGAAAUUUCUGUUAUCCCCCGUGCAUCAGGAUGCUGUUGGAAACUGUCAAUAUUUUUUUUUCAAAUAUAUACUUCUAUCCAAAGGUAACUGUAAUUAAAAGUCAACGAACAAACCC